RNAcentral lists this ribosomal RNA (471 nucleotides) under uncultured bacterium. RNAcentral describes it as "bacterial SSU rRNA". It matches the Rfam family "Bacterial small subunit ribosomal RNA", at positions 329 to 793 of the family's 1533-position model. The record is from RNAcentral.
GUACGCACUCCUACGGGAGGCAGCAGUGGGGAAUAUUGCACAAUGGGCGCAAGCCUGAUGCAGCCAUGCCGCGUGUAUGAAGAAGGCCUUCGGGUUGUAAAGUACUUUCAGCAGUGAGGAAGGUGGGUAUGUUAAUAGCAUACUCAUUUGACGUUAGCUGCAGAAGAAGCACCGGCUAACUCCGUGCCAGCAGCCGCGGUAAUACGGAGGGUGCGAGCGUUAAUCGGAAUUACUGGGCGUAAAGCGCAUGCAGGUGGUUUGUUAAGUCAGAUGUGAAAGCCCGGGGCUCAACCUCGGAAUUGCAUUUGAAACUGGCAAACUAGAGUACUGUAGAGGGGGUAGAAUUUCAGGUGUAGCGGUGAAAUGCGUAGAGAUCUGAAGGAAUACCGGUGGCGAAGGCGGCCCCCUGGACAGAUACUGACACUCAGAUGCGAAAGCGUGGGGAGCAAACAGGAUUAGAUACCCUGGUAG